UGCCAGCCGCCGCGGUAAUACGGAGGGUGCAAGCGUUAAUCGGAAUUACUGGGCGUAAAGCGCGCGUAGGCGGUUUAUUAAGUCAGAUGUGAAAGCCCCGGGCUCAACCUGGGAAUUGCAUUUGAGACUGGUAGGCUAGAGUGUGGUAGAGGUGAGUGGAAUUUCAGGUGUAGCGGUGAAAUGCGUAGAGAUCUGAAGGAACAUCAGUGGCGAAGGCGACUCACUGGGCCAUUACUGACGCUGAGGUGCGAAAGCGUGGGUAGCAAACAGGAUUAGAUA
This 279-nucleotide ribosomal RNA is filed under the name uncultured bacterium. Its description in RNAcentral is "partial 16S ribosomal RNA". It matches the Rfam family "Bacterial small subunit ribosomal RNA", at positions 506 to 784 of the family's 1533-position model. The record is from RNAcentral.